GACGAACGCUGGCGGCGUGCUUAACACAUGCAAGUCGAACGGAAAGGCCCUGCUUUUGUGGGGUGCUCGAGUGGCGGACGGGUGAGUAACACGUGAGUAACCUGCCCUUGACUUUGGGAUAACUUCAGGAAACUUGGGCUAAUACCGGAUAUGAGCUCCUGCUGCAUGGUGGGGGUUGGAAAGUUUCGGCGGUUGGGGAUGGACUCGCGGCUUAUCAGCUUGUUGGUGGGGUAGUGGCUUACCAAGGCGUUGACGGGUAGCCGGCCUGAGAGGGUGACCGGCCACAUUGGGACUGAGAUACGGCCCAGACUCCUACGGGAGGCAGCAGUGGGGAAUAUUGCACAAUGGGCGGAAGCCUGAUGCAGCAACGCCGCGUGCGGGAUGACGGCCUUCGGGUUGUAAACCGCUUUCGCCUGUGACGAAGCGUGAGUGACGGUAAUGGGUAAAGAAGCACCGGCUAACUACGUG
This 468-nucleotide ribosomal RNA is filed under the name uncultured bacterium. Its description in RNAcentral is "partial 16S ribosomal RNA". It matches the Rfam family "Bacterial small subunit ribosomal RNA", at positions 28 to 507 of the family's 1533-position model. The record is from RNAcentral.